Molecule: ribosomal RNA, 464 nt
Filed under: uncultured bacterium
Lineage: Bacteria
Description: partial 16S ribosomal RNA
Rfam family: Bacterial small subunit ribosomal RNA
Source: RNAcentral
CUUCGGGUGGCAGCAGUGGGGAAUAUUGCACAAUGGGCGCAAGCCUGAUGCAGCCAUGCCGCGUGUAUGAAGAAGGCCUUCGGGUUGUAAAGUACUUUCAGCGGGGAGGAAGGGAGUAAAGUUAAUACCUUUGCUCAUUGACGUUACCCGCAGAAGAAGCACCGGCUAACUCCGUGCCAGCAGCCGCGGUAAUACGGAGGGUGCAAGCGUUAAUCGGAAUUACUGGGCGUAAAGCGCACGCAGGCGGUUUGUUAAGUCUGAUGUGAAAUCCCCGGGCUCAACCUGGGAACUGCAUCUGAUACUGGCAAGCUUGAGUCUCGUAGAGGGGGGUAGAAUUCCAGGUGUAGCGGUGACAUGCGUAGAGAUCUGGAGGAAUACCGGUGGCGAAGGCGGCCCCCUGGACGAAGACUGACGCUCAGGUGCGAAAGCGUGGGGAGCAAACAGGAUUAGAUACCCGAGUAGUC